AAAGUUGUGGCUCAGUGGUAGAGAGCUUGCCUCUCAUGUAUGAGGCACUGGGUUCCAUCCCCAGCACCAUAU
This 72-nucleotide transfer RNA is filed under the name Ictidomys tridecemlineatus (thirteen-lined ground squirrel). Its description in RNAcentral is "Spermophilus tridecemlineatus (thirteen-lined ground squirrel) tRNA". It matches the Rfam family "tRNA". From Rfam's summary of the family: Transfer RNA (tRNA) molecules are approximately 80 nucleotides in length. Their secondary structure includes four short double-helical elements and three loops (D, anti-codon, and T loops). Lineage: Eukaryota; Metazoa; Chordata; Mammalia; Rodentia; Sciuridae. The record is from Rfam by way of RNAcentral.